UGAUUGAAGUGAUGAGAAGAGAAUAUACAAGUUAUUUACAUUUUUGUGUUUGGAUGGAUAAACCCAUUGCCUACGUACCAUCUUAUAAAAAGAUUAGGAUCAAAACCUCGUAGUUCGGGGUAAAAAUUUCAAAAAAAUGAGUUGGUGAAUUGAUUGGUCCAAAAGCCUUGAGAUCUUUUGUUAUCAAAGGGAGAAAACUCAACCUAAAAC
This 210-nucleotide long non-coding RNA is filed under the name Lathyrus oleraceus (garden pea). RNAcentral describes it as "Pisum sativum (pea) long non-coding RNA (PSAT_LNC018432)". The record is from RNAcentral. Lineage: Eukaryota; Viridiplantae; Streptophyta; Magnoliopsida; Fabales; Fabaceae.